Molecule: unclassified non-coding RNA, 343 nt
Filed under: Hevea brasiliensis (rubber tree)
Lineage: Eukaryota; Viridiplantae; Streptophyta; Magnoliopsida; Malpighiales; Euphorbiaceae
Source: RNAcentral
AGAAGAGACUUCGUGCAAGGGGGACUGAGGCAGAGGAGCAGAUUCUUAAGCGACUUCAAAAUGCAGAGGCAGAGAUGGUACAAGGAAAGUCAUCAGGCAUCUUUGAUCACAUUUGUUAUAACGAUAAACUUGAGGAUUCUUAUGAGAACCUCAAGAAACUCUUGGGGCUGGAUGGAACUGCAGUAGCUACCCAGAAGUUAUCACCCCAAGGGAUUAAUCUGCCUGUGGACCAUUCAGUAUCAAGGAUUGAUAAUAAGAUCAUCAUAAAUUGUGGAGCACCAGAACUAGAGAAGGCAUCAAAGAGCUUGAUUGUCUUGGAUGUAUCCUCACUCAAGGGAGGGGC